UUCUUAUCCAGAGAGACUGAGGGACAGGCCCUAUGAAGUCUCGGCAACAGAUUCGCGUAUGAACACUGUGCCAAUUCCUACAAGCAUCAUUUGCUUGAAAGAUGAGAA
RNAcentral lists this non-coding RNA (108 nucleotides) under Viridibacillus arenosi. RNAcentral's name for it is "SAM-I sequence". It matches the Rfam family "SAM riboswitch aptamer (S box leader)". Rfam says of the family: The SAM riboswitch is found upstream of a number of genes which code for proteins involved in methionine or cysteine biosynthesis in Gram-positive bacteria. The SAM riboswitch acts at the level of transcription termination control. RNAcentral also lists the same sequence under 1 other name. The record is from RNAcentral. Lineage: Bacteria; Bacillati; Bacillota; Bacilli; Caryophanales; Caryophanaceae.